Long non-coding RNA from Macaca mulatta (Rhesus monkey), 841 nucleotides. RefSeq lists it as uncharacterized. NCBI's taxonomy places the organism in Eukaryota, Metazoa, Chordata, Mammalia, Primates, Cercopithecidae. The record is from RefSeq and is a predicted model, not a curated record.
UCAUUUAUAUUCUUAGAAUAUGACCCAAGGAAUGUUAUUAAUGAUCACCUCUUCCUCUACAUUUUCCAAUGGCUUCUGAAAAGAUUGUAAUGACUAUACUUAUACCUAAACAAGUAAUAAAUAAAUACAUUUAGCUUCCUUACCGUGAGUAUUGAAUCAACAUUUGAAAACAAAGUAAUCAACCUUUGGCAAUUUGGACUUUGUAUUCUCCAGUGAAUGAAGGAUAACAAUUAGACAUGGAGAUACUUGGUUUAGCAGAGCAGGUGGCAAGCCUGAAGACCGUGAGUUAAGAUCAUAGAGCCACAGAAAGAAGCAGCCUGCACCCCUGAGUUCCAGGUCGGAAUAAAGUAUCACCUGAACUGCUUCAGACUUUGUGGGAAUGAGAAACAAACCUUCCUUGUACUCCACUGCAACCCACUCUUAUAAUCUGAAGAGGCUCCUAUGAUCAGAGUCAAAGAUACAAAUGCUAGGAUACCACACAAAGAAGGAAGAAGAAAUAUCCUGUUAACAAUGUCCAGGUGUGAAAAAAUAAACUGCAACAAUAAACUGGAGGACUAGUUGAUGCACAAAAUAAUCUCACUCUUCAAUCUUAUUGGACCUUUAUUUAUGUGGUCAAGUUUGUGAUGACUAGUUUCAGGAUAGACACCUUGACUUGGCUACAGUGCUACAAUCCCACCUAAGAGUUACAGAUGGUCUAUUUAUGCAGGCCGUUAUAUCUUUAAUUUCUCUCCUUAAUAAAUUUUAUUUAUUAAGACAAGAAAAUGUAAGAAACUUCUGCAUUUUUUAACUUAAAACAAUAUUGUUAAGAUUGUUUUAAUUAAAUACUGUUCUAAAUUAAAUA